GAUGAACGCUGGCGGCGUGCCUAAUACAUGCAAGUCGAGCGAACAGACGAGGAGCUUGCUCCUCUGACGUUAGCGGCGGACGGGAGAGUAACACGUGGAUAACCUACCUAUAAGACUGGGAUAACUUCGGGAAACCGGAGCUAAUACCGGAUAAUAUAUUGAACCGCAUGGUUCAAUAGUGAAAGACGGUUUUGCUGUCACUUAUAGAUGGCUCCGCGCCGCAUUAGCUAGUUGGUAAGGUAACGGCUUACCAAGGCAACGAUGCGUAGCCGACCCGAGAGGGUGAUUCGCUAGACGGUAUGAGAGACACAUCCCCGACACCGGCGGGGGGAAGCGGUAGAGACUCUUCCGCGAUGGGGGAGUGCGGGACGGAGGAAAGCGGGGGAAAUGAUGAAGGAGUUAUGAUGGGUGAGCUCUGUAGGUAGUGAGGAAGUAAAGUGUAAUUAACUAGGAAGAUCUUGACGGUACCUGAAGAAGAAGCCACGGCUAACUACGUG
RNAcentral lists this ribosomal RNA (497 nucleotides) under uncultured bacterium. RNAcentral describes it as "partial 16S ribosomal RNA". It matches the Rfam family "Bacterial small subunit ribosomal RNA", at positions 28 to 507 of the family's 1533-position model. The record is from RNAcentral.